Molecule: RNA transcript, 2116 nt
Organism: Brassica napus (rape)
Lineage: Eukaryota; Viridiplantae; Streptophyta; Magnoliopsida; Brassicales; Brassicaceae
Gene name: protein DETOXIFICATION 27
Exons: 10
Source: RefSeq, a predicted model, not a curated record
ACUACUUAUCUUUCUAGUCGUCACCUUUCUUUUCUCUCCUUUCUUUUUCUAUUUAUACAAUCUUCCAAAAACAAAGAAAAAGUAAAGAGAAGAGAGGGAAGGAAAUAUAAGAGUAUAACGAUGAGAGGAAAAGGAGGAGAUCCAGAGUCGAGGAUUCCGUUGUUGAAGAGCCAUGAAACGGCGGUGGAAGACGGUGGAGGAUUGAAGAGAAGAGUUUGGGUUGAGACAAAGAAGCUAUGGCAAAUCGUUGGUCCUGCGAUAUUCACUCGUAUUACGACAUAUUCUAUGCUUGUAAUAACUCAAGCCUUCGCUGGUCAUCUCGGGGAUCUCGAACUCGCCGCUAUAUCAAUCGUUAAUAACGUCGUCGUCGGCUUCAACUUCGGCCUCUUGCUUGGAAUGGCGAGUGCGUUGGAAACGUUGUGUGGACAAGCGUUUGGAGCAAAGAAAUAUCACAUGUUGGGAGUUUAUAUGCAACGUUCUUGGAUUGUUCUCUUCUUUUGUUGUAUUUUGUUAUUACCGACUUAUCUUUUCACAACUCCGGUUCUCAAAUUUCUCGGUCAGCCAGAUGAUAUCGCUGAGCUUUCUGGUGUCGUCUCCGUUUGGGUCAUCCCUCUUCAUUUCGCUUUCGCUUUGUCUUUCCCACUUCAACGUUUCCUCCAGUGCCAGCUCAAAAACCAGGUGACUGCGAUUGCGUCUGCGAUUGCAUUGGUCGUUCACUUUUUAGUGUGCUGGUUGUUCGUUGAUGGACUUAAACUCGGAGUCGUGGGAACUAUGGCUACGGUUAGUAUCUCUUGGUGGGUCAACGUUCUUAUUACUUUAGGUUACUCCGUGUGUGGCGGCUGUCCACUCACUUGGACCGGCUUCUCCUCCGAAGCCUUCACCGGGCUUUGGGAGUUUCUCAAACUCUCUGCUUCUUCCGGCGUCAUGCUUUGUUUGGAGAAUUGGUAUUAUCGAAUUUUGAUAAUAAUGACUGGAAAUCUUGAGAAUGCUCGAAUAGCUGUUGACUCUUUAUCUAUUUGCAUGUCGAUAAAUGGGUGGGAGAUGAUGAUUCCCAUCGCUUUCUUCGCCGGAACCGGUGUACGUGUGGCAAACGAACUAGGAGCAGGCAACGGGAGAGGAGCAAGGUUUGCGACGAUUGUAUCAGUGACACAGUCUUUAAUCAUCGGAUUGUUUUUCUGGGUGAUCAUAACGUUUUUCCAUAACCAAAUCGCUUGGAUCUUUUCUUCAAGUGAAGAAGUCUUAAUGGCCGUUAAUAAACUCUCAAUUCUGUUAGCUUUCACAGUUCUUCUCAACAGCGUCCAACCGGUUCUUUCCGGUGUUGCGGUUGGAUCGGGGUGGCAAUCAUACGUGGCUUAUAUAAACUUGGGAUGUUAUUACUGCAUCGGAGUUCCAUUUGGGUUUGUAAUGGGCUGGGUUUUUAACUUUGGUGUCAUGGGUAUUUGGGCUGGUAUGAUUUUUGGAGGAACCGCAGUCCAGACAAUGAUCUUAGCUUUUAUCACGAUGAGAUGUGAUUGGGAAAAGGAGGCGCAAAAGGCAAAUACGCGUGUUAACAAAUGGUCCAACAUAAUCAAAUGAAGUUUCACUCAAUAAAUUUUCGACUUGGUUGUGUAUCUUAAAUUUUGAAAAUCAUGUUAUCAAAAUGUACCUAGAGACCGUUUCAACUAUUAAGUUGCUCUCUGCAGUUACUACAAAAAUACUCAUUCUGUUCUUAAUUGUAGCUUGUUAUAAAGAACUAGAGGCCGAGCCCCGCGCAAACGCGGGGUUAUUUGUUUAUUUGGCAAAGCAGAGGGUCGGAGGUGGUGGAAUUAGUAGGGAGGCAGCUGUUUGUUGUUGAUUACGUGUAGGACGCUUUGUGAACGAAGACCAGUUGAUACAUAUAUAUUUUUGUAUUUAGUUGUCAGCAUCCCAAUUCCCACCGAGGACGCUUUGUGAACGAAGACCAGUUGAUACUCUUUUGGAGUUUUUGUUUUGUUUGGUGGCUAUUGGAUUUUAGUUGGUUUCUUUGUUGCAUUGUUUAACGUCGAUGCCAUGUAACUAUCUGAACAUGUUCUCAUGCAUGAAGCAAAAGACAUGCUUAUUUUCACGAAAUGCAAAGACCCAUCAACGUUCCCCUUUA